UUUCCGUAGGUGAACCUGCGGAAGGAUCAUUCAUAAUAAAGUGUUUUAUGGCACUUUUUAAAAAUCCAUAUCUACCUUGUGUGCAAUGUUAGAUCUCGUCAAUCUUGGCGAGAUUUUUAUACAUCAACUCAUUCUUUAACUAAUUUGUCUGAAAAAUAUUAUGAAUACUUAAUUCAAAAUACAACUUUCAGCAACGGAUCUCUUGGCUCUC
Molecule: unclassified non-coding RNA, 211 nt
Filed under: plant metagenome
Description: partial contains small subunit ribosomal RNA, internal transcribed spacer 1, and 5.8S ribosomal RNA
Source: RNAcentral